This 444-nucleotide ribosomal RNA is filed under the name uncultured organism. RNAcentral describes it as "partial 16S ribosomal RNA". It matches the Rfam family "Bacterial small subunit ribosomal RNA", at positions 335 to 796 of the family's 1533-position model. The record is from RNAcentral.
ACUCCUGCGGGAGGCAGCAGUGGGGAAUAUUGGACAAUGGGCGCAAGCCUGAUCCAGCCAUGCCGCGUGAGUGAUGAAGGCCCUAGGGUUGUAAAGCUCUUUCACCGGUGAAGAUAAUGACGGUAACCGGAGAAGAAGCCCCGGCUAACUUCGUGCCAGCAGCCGCGGUAAUACGAAGGGGGCUAGCGUUGUUCGGAUUUACUGGGCGUAAAGCGCACGUAGGCGGACUAUUAAGUCAGGGGUGAAAUCCCGGGGCUCAACCCCGGAACUGCCUUUGAUACUGGUAGUCUUGAGUUCGAGAGAGGUGAGUGGAAUUCCGAGUGUAGAGGUGAAAUUCGUAGAUAUUCGGAGGAACACCAGUGGCGAAGGCGGCUCACUGGCUCGAUACUGACGCUGAGGUGCGAAAGCGUGGGGAGCAAACAGGAUUAGAUACCCCUGUAGUCC